ACAGAAAUAACUUGCCAGUUAACAUUGUUGUCACUGCUUCCCUCUGUUUGUUUUUCCAUUUUCAUGUUGUUAAGGGAAAGGUGUCCCAUCAGGAUGGCCAGUUCCUGAUAUCUCAUCUAGAGAUGCGAAGGAGCUCAACUGGUGCUAAGGACCCAGCUGAUUGACACUUCAUUUUACCCAAUUAACACAGUUUGUAAAACAUUAUAUUUUUUUAAAUGAGUUUUAAUAUAUAUACAUUUUCUACAUAUUAUAAUUCUAAUUUACUACUAUAACUCUAAAUUCAGCCACCGCAAUACUAAUUAUUUUGAUUUUUUUUCUAAAAAUGUGUAUUUUAAAAUAGUAAAUUAAAGUAGUGGCCGUUUUACAAAAUUAACCCAAAAAUUUAGUCUUCAUGGAGACUACAUGGAGAAUCUGUCUUCAACAUGAAAUGAGUACAGAAAUUAAAAUCAUUCUCCCAAGUAUGGACUUUGUCAGCAUAGUGCACACCAAGGAAUUCCGUAAAUAGAACAAUUCUUCAUUGGUUUCUAAGUCACAACUUUCUGACUAAUCAUGAAAACCUGAACCAGGCCAAUGGGAAACACAGAAGAACAGCAGAAGAGACAUUUUAGAAAUAUUAUGGAGGGGAAUGGAGGUGGAUGGGACUCAUUGGUGGUAAAAGUGUCCUGCCUUGUCAAUGAGGGCAUGCCAAAGAGCCAGGAGGUCUGGUGCCGCAGAAAAGGCAACAUUUGCUGCCAGUUUG
Molecule: long non-coding RNA, 739 nt
Organism: Myotis brandtii (Brandt's bat)
Lineage: Eukaryota; Metazoa; Chordata; Mammalia; Chiroptera; Vespertilionidae
Exons: 4
Source: RefSeq, a predicted model, not a curated record